GUUCAAAAGAGCUUCAUAGAGUGCCCUGAGCCAACACAGUAACAGGAGGAAGGGGACUUGGACUUAGAAAGGCACCAACAAGGGCAAUUUCCCGUGUUCUCAGUGAGAGAGAAUGUUGACACACAUACAUUUCCCUGUAAUUAGGGAAGGAAUCAAACGGCAUAUGUUCCUGCGUGGUUUCCAUGGCUGCAUCCUAUUCUCUGUCUGCAUCUUGGUGCAUCAUGGAAAGUGUCAUUUACUAGCAACUUGGAGUCACCUACUAACAGGCUUUGAGCAAAUGGAACCCGAGGGUGCUCAGUGAAAGGACUCCGCAGGUGGAAAAGGGGAACUUCUGCAGUGGCCCACGCAGGUGAUGAAGGUCA
Molecule: long non-coding RNA, 362 nt
Organism: Nannospalax galili (Upper Galilee mountains blind mole rat)
Lineage: Eukaryota; Metazoa; Chordata; Mammalia; Rodentia; Spalacidae
Exons: 4
Source: RefSeq, a predicted model, not a curated record